Molecule: long non-coding RNA, 835 nt
Organism: Platichthys flesus (European flounder)
Lineage: Eukaryota; Metazoa; Chordata; Actinopteri; Pleuronectiformes; Pleuronectidae
Exons: 4
Source: RefSeq, a predicted model, not a curated record
AAAAAGAGUAUCAUUAUAUCCUUGAAUCUGAUUUGAGAAUUCGAUGCACUCUCACGUUUUCCCACAGAACCUACGGCUGUCACAAUACUUCUACUCCGACAUGUUCAUCGGCUCCGUCACACACCCAGCGUCUGGGUAUGCAGCGGUGGUUGCCGCACUCAAACUGGGCGGCCGAGCAAAACUUAUCUGGACGGGUCGGAAAGAAUUCGUGAAGUGCAAAGUCCAGCUCAUGGGGAUACAGCGGCCGCUAGGACAAGCGAAGUAGGGCGUGGGACAGCUUGUCUUCCCGCUCCCUGGCACACAGACAGACAAGUGGUUCCUGCUCUAACCCAUCUGUUAGAUGACUACAAGUUCCUCUUCUCCUCAAACCCACUGUCUGUACAUGUAUCAAAGAGAAGGCAUGGGCUUGUCAGAGGGUGUUCAAAUACCUGGGCAGUUCCUUUCGUCGGAGAGGUCUCCACAGUCGUUGGCUCCGUCACACUGCCACGAAGAGGCAAAGCACAGAGUGGUGAACUCGCACUUCUGAAACGUGGCUCCCUUCACUCCCAGACGGAAGUAGCUUGAGCAGUCCGUGGCAGCUUGACAAAGAGAGCAGAGACACUUUAGCACCAGGGAGCGAGUGGAGGCGUCUCUGAUUACUGUUCUGACGUCCACUGAACGUACUGCAGUUCAUCUCAUCACUGGCGUCCUCGCAGUCCACCUUCUGGUUACACUUGCUGGAGUUGGAGAUGCAGCCCCCGUCUCUGCACUGGAACUGAUCGGCUGAGCACAGCGUGGCUGAGACACACACGCACACGCACACGCACACACACACACACACACACACACACACACA